AGAGAAGCUUGCUUCUCUUGAGAGCGGCGGACGGGUGAGUAAUGCCUAGGAAUCUGCCUGGUAGUGGGGGAUAACGCUCGGAAACGGACGCUAAUACCGCAUACGUCCUACGGGAGAAAGCAGGGGACCUUCGGGCCUUGCGCUAUCAGAUGAGCCUAGGUCGGAUUAGCUAGUUGGUGAGGUAAUGGCUCACCAAGGCGACGAUCCGUAACUGGUCUGAGAGGAUGAUCAGUCACACUGGAACUGAGACACGGUCCAGACUCCUACGGGAGGCAGCAGUGGGGAAUAUUGGACAAUGGGCGAAAGCCUGAUCCAGCCAUGCCGCGUGUGUGAAGAAGGUCUUCGGAUUGUAAAGCACUUUAAGUUGGGAGGAAGGGCAUUAACCUAAUACGUUGGUGUCUUGACGUUACCGA
RNAcentral lists this ribosomal RNA (413 nucleotides) under Pseudomonas sp. RNAcentral's name for it is "bacterial SSU rRNA". It matches the Rfam family "Bacterial small subunit ribosomal RNA", at positions 72 to 481 of the family's 1533-position model. Lineage: Bacteria; Pseudomonadati; Pseudomonadota; Gammaproteobacteria; Pseudomonadales; Pseudomonadaceae. The record is from RNAcentral.